UUAGAUUUAUCGAAAAUCAAAUUGGAAAUUCUUUCAAUGAAAUUCAAUAUUUGUUUUCCUUCUCUUCUAAUUCUUUUUGUGCUGAAGUGAUCUCUGGAAGUUUCUUUUGAAGAUUUAUAAUUUUUCUUUACAAUGUUGACUUUGUUUAGUUUAACAAUAAGCUUUAUCUUUUAUUAAAUUGUUUUCAGAGAUAUGAUGAAUUGUCGUGCGAUAAAAGCUAGGUAUUACAAAUAAUAAUUCAAUCGUUUGUGUUUAGUAACCAUCAACUAUAAAUUUUUACUCGGUCAUUAUCAUUCAAUCCAAUA
Molecule: long non-coding RNA, 305 nt
Filed under: Phaseolus vulgaris (common bean)
Lineage: Eukaryota; Viridiplantae; Streptophyta; Magnoliopsida; Fabales; Fabaceae
Description: long non-coding RNA (PVUL_LNC003850)
Source: RNAcentral